Molecule: long non-coding RNA, 1038 nt
Organism: Drosophila biarmipes
Lineage: Eukaryota; Metazoa; Arthropoda; Insecta; Diptera; Drosophilidae
Exons: 2
Source: RefSeq, a predicted model, not a curated record
CAUCACAAUAAUGAAGACACAGCUGUUGCUUGCAGUUGUCCUCAUUUCCCUGGUGGGAAUGGCCCCGUCGGCAAGGGUGCCAAACAAAAAUAUCGAAAUUUGGAUUAGGCCAAAACCCUACCCCGACAGACCACCACCAGAUUAAAUGGAUCAGUUUAUCCACACUUGAUCCUGCCACCGAGACAAAUGGGACCCCCAAAAAGGGGUUCAAAUGAUGUACAACCUACAGAUACAAAAUUACUAAGAAAUAAAUGGCCUCAACAAUAUUACCACCAUUUUUUAUUAAGUCUAAACAAAAGCUUAAAAUGUAUUUAUUUCCUUUUUAUUUCUAGUUAGGGUCACGAGUAUUACCAUUUUUAUUCUGAUCCAGAAAUUUGAAUGGAAUCAAUUCCUUAAGGCAACAUUUAAAUUGCUUGAAAAUAAUACAAAACACCUUGUGUAAUUACUAACAAUAAAAUUUAAAUUAAAACGGAAGGUUACAACAACAAUAAAAACAGCAUUUAGAGGUUCCCUUCUUUUAAAUAAUCCAUACAAAUUAAAUUUUCGUGUCGUUCGACGCUUUAAAAACCAACUAACCAUUGCUUAAUUUGAUUUAUUUCAAACUUUAUAAGGUUUAGGCGUGGCAAAACUAAUUUGCUUGUUAAUUUGCGUUAUGUAACAAGUUAUUUCUAAUUCUAUAAAAAGCUAGGUUCCUAGUGCAGAUAUAAUCACAAUAAUGAAGGCACAGCUGUUGCUUGCAGUUGUCCUCCUUUCCCUGGUGGGAAUGGCCCCGUCGGCAAGGGUGCCAAACAAAAAUAUCGAAAUUUGGAUUAGGCCAAAACCCUACCCCGACAGACCACCACCAAAUUAAAUGGAUCAGUUCUUCCACACUUGUUCCUGCCAAGUGUGGAGAUAUCCAAUCGAGUAUCCAAUCAAAGUUGCUCUUACCAGUUAUUCCCAGGGGACAAAUGGGGGCCUUGAUUGGGACAAAAGGGGUUCGAAUGAUGUACAACUUACAGAUACAAAAUUAUUAAGAAAUAAAUGGCCUAAACAAUAUUA